Molecule: ribosomal RNA, 462 nt
Filed under: uncultured bacterium
Lineage: Bacteria
Description: partial 16S ribosomal RNA
Rfam family: Bacterial small subunit ribosomal RNA
Source: RNAcentral
GACGAACGCUGGCGGCGUGCUUAACACAUGCAAGUCGAACGGAAAGGCCCUUCGGGGUUCUCGUGUGCCGAACGGGAGAGUGAGACGUAGGUGAGCGUCCCUUCACUUUGGGAUAAGCCUGGGAAACUGGGACUAAUACCGAAACGGGCCACGCGCUCCUUCGUCUGUGGGGGAGAGCGUUGGCGGUGGGGGAUGGGGCCGCGGCCUAUCAGCUUGUUGGUGGGGUAGUGGCCUACCAAGGCGACGACGGGUAGCCGGCCUGAGAGGGUGACCGGCCACACUGGGACUGAGAUACGGCCCAGACUCCUACGGGAGGCAGCAGUGGGGAAUAUUGCACAAUGGGCGCAAGCCUGAUGCAGCGACGCCGCGUGCGGGAUGACGGCCUUCGGGUUGUAAACCGCUUUCAACUGGGACGAAGCGCAAGUGACGGUACCGAGAGAAGAAGCACCGGCUAACUACGUG